AGGAUAAACGCUGGCGGCGUGCCUAAAACAUGCAAGUCGAACGGACCCUUCGGGGUUAGUGGCGAACGGCUGAGUAACACGUGGGUGACCUGCCUUCGAACGGGGGAUAACUGCCCGAAAGGGUGGCUAAUACCGCAGAUGUCAUUGAUUCGGUUCGGUGACUGAACUUCCGGGGUUCGGAGAGGGGCCUGCGUCCGAUUAGCUAGCUGGUGGGUAACGCCUACCAGGGCGACGAUCGGUAGCUGGUCUGAGAGGAUGAUCAGCCAGACUGGGACUGCGAGACGGCCCAGACUCCUACGGGAGGCAG
This 307-nucleotide ribosomal RNA is filed under the name uncultured soil bacterium. Its description in RNAcentral is "bacterial SSU rRNA". It matches the Rfam family "Bacterial small subunit ribosomal RNA", at positions 26 to 351 of the family's 1533-position model. The record is from RNAcentral.